UAAAUCACGACGAACCUCGCGUUUCGCGAGGUUUUGCGUCCAUUUUUCGUAUUUAAAACAUCCCACUCUUUAAAAAAUUAUCUAAUGAUAAAUAAAUAAAAAGA
This 104-nucleotide unclassified non-coding RNA is filed under the name uncultured Glomerales. Its description in RNAcentral is "sequence contains ITS1". Lineage: Eukaryota; Fungi; Glomeromycota; Glomeromycetes; Glomerales; Glomeraceae. The record is from RNAcentral.